GCGCAAGCCUGACGGAGCAAGACCGCGUGAGGGAGGAAGGCUCUUGGGUUGUAAACCUCUUUUAUCAGGGAAGAAGAUCUGACGGUACCUGAUGAAUCAGCAUCGGCUAACUCCGUGCCAGCAGCCGCGGUAAUACGGAGGAUGCAAGCGUUAUCCGGAUUUAUUGGGCGUAAAGCGUCCGCAGGUGGUUUUUCAAGUCUGCUGUUAAAGCGCAGAGCUUAACUCUGUAACGGCGGUGGAAACUGAGAGACUAGAGUAUGGUAGGGGUUGCGGGAAUUCCCAGUGUAGCGGUGAAAUGCGUAGAUAUUGGGAAGAACACCAGCGGCGAAAGCGCGCAACUGGGCCAUUACUGACACUCAUGGACGAAAGCUAGGGGAGCGAAAGGGAUUAGAUACCCCCUGUAGUCCUAGCUGUAAACGAUGGGUACUAGGUGUUGACCGUAUCGACCCGGUCAGUGCCGUAGCUAACGCGUUAAGUACCCCGCCUGGGGAGUAUGCACGCAAGUGUGAAACUCAAAGGAAUUGACGGGGGCCCGCACAAGCGGUGGAGUAUGUGGUUUAAUUCGAUGCAACGCGAAGAACCUUACCAGGGCUUGACAUGUCGCGAAUCUCGGUGAAAGUCGAGAGUGCCUUCGGGAGCGCGAACACAGGUGGUGCAUGGCUGUCGUCAGCUCGUGUCGUGAGAUGUUGGGUUAAGUCCCGCAACGAGCGCGACCCUCGUUUUUAGUUGCCAGCAUUUAGUUGGGCACUCUAGAGAGACUGCCGGUGACAAACCGGAGGAAGGUGGGGAUGACGUCAAGUCAGCAUGCCCCUUACGUCCUGGGCUACACACGUACUACAAUGCUUCGGACAAAGGGUUGCGAGCUAGCGAUAGCAAGCUAAUCCCGUAAACCGAGGCUCAGUUCAGAUUGCAGGCUGCAACUCGCCUGCAUGAAGGAGGAAUCGCU
Molecule: ribosomal RNA, 946 nt
Filed under: uncultured bacterium
Lineage: Bacteria
Description: bacterial SSU rRNA
Rfam family: Bacterial small subunit ribosomal RNA
Source: RNAcentral